This 451-nucleotide ribosomal RNA is filed under the name uncultured bacterium. RNAcentral describes it as "bacterial SSU rRNA". It matches the Rfam family "Bacterial small subunit ribosomal RNA", at positions 354 to 796 of the family's 1533-position model. The record is from RNAcentral.
GUGGGGAAUAUUGGACAAUGGGCGAAAGCCUGAUCCAGCCAUGCCGCGUGUGUGAAGAAGGUCUUCGGAUUGUAAAGCACUUUAAGUUGGGAGGAAGGGCAGUAAGCUAAUACCUUGCUGUUUUGGACGUUACCGACAGAAUAAGCACCGGCUAACUCUGUGCCAGCAGCCGCGGUAAUACAGAGGGUGCAAGCGUUAAUCGGAAUUACUGGGCGUAAAGCGCGCGUAGGUGGUUCGUUAAGUUGGAUGUGAAAGCCCCGGGCUCAACCUGGGAACUGCAUCCAAAACUGGCGAGCUAGAGUACGGUAGAGGGUGGUGGAAUUUCCUGUGUAGCGGUGAAAUGCGUAGAUAUAGGAAGGAACACCAGUGGCGAAGGCGACUACCUGGACUGAUACUGACACUGAGGUGCGAAAGCGUGGGGAGCAAACAGGAUUAGAAACCCUGGUAGUCC